CCGGUGAUGCCCAUGAUUCCACUCAUUACUCUGCACCACAAACUCCUCCUGACCCUGGGCAGCCCACUACCAGACGGUUAUAAACAUCGCUAUCAGCCUGAUGCCCUCUCCGCCUAUAAAAGGGGGACCCCAGAUACGUUAUUCUCUAAGCUCUAAUUUCUAUCCCAAAACUCUGCUAAAAUUUCUAUUCGAGCACUCCAUUCUUGUUGAGGCAGAGAACUGACU
This 225-nucleotide long non-coding RNA is filed under the name Elaeis guineensis (African oil palm). Its description in RNAcentral is "long non-coding RNA (EGUI_LNC071988)". The record is from RNAcentral. Lineage: Eukaryota; Viridiplantae; Streptophyta; Magnoliopsida; Arecales; Arecaceae.